Molecule: ribosomal RNA, 253 nt
Filed under: uncultured bacterium
Lineage: Bacteria
Description: partial 16S ribosomal RNA
Rfam family: Bacterial small subunit ribosomal RNA
Source: RNAcentral
UACGUAGGGGGCAAGCGUUGUCCGGAAUCAUUGGGCGUAAAGAGCGUGUAGGCGGCUCGAUAAGUCUGCUGUGAAAGUCCAGGGCUCAACCCUGGAAGGCCGGUGGAAACUGUCGGGCUAGAGUCCGGAAGAGGCGAGUGGAAUUCCCGGUGUAGCGGUGAAAUGCGCAGAUAUCGGGAGGAACACCAAUGGCGAAGGCGGCGCUCUGGGCCGGUACUGACGCUGAGGAGCGAAAGCGUGGGGAGCAAACAGG